UACGUAGGGGGCUAGCGUUGUCCGGAUUUAUUGGGCGUAAAGAGCGUGUAGGCGGCCAGGUAGGUCUGGUGUGAAAACUCGAGGCUCAACCUCGAGACGUCGGCGGAAACCAUCUGGCUAGAGUCCGGAAGAGGAGAGUGGAAUUCCUGGUGUAGCGGUGAAAUGCGCAGAUAUCAGGAAGAACACCCGUGGCUAAGGCGGCUCUCUAGUACGGUACUGACGCUGAGGAGCGAAAGCGUGGGGAGCGAACAGG
RNAcentral lists this ribosomal RNA (253 nucleotides) under uncultured bacterium. RNAcentral's name for it is "partial 16S ribosomal RNA". It matches the Rfam family "Bacterial small subunit ribosomal RNA", at positions 524 to 776 of the family's 1533-position model. The record is from RNAcentral.